GGCUCAGGUCUCUAGCUGGCAGCUUUGCGGUGAGCCUGGGACAGUGGGGAAGGAGGCAUUCUACCCAGGUUUGCAAAGCUGACUUGCCUCAGAGACCCCGACUGCCGACCGCCUUCCUCUGGACUUCUACUUGCAGCUGGACUGAAUGGAGAAAUGCCUGGCAUGAGUGGUGCCGUGAGUCAGCGCAGAUCCAAGCUCUGUCCCUCUGCCCCUCUGCUCUGCUCUUUGCCAGACCACACAGCCUCCCUCCCCUCCUGCCAAGCGUGGCCAGCGUGCCGUCCAGGCCCUGGCGACAUAAUGGCCAACACAACAGUCACAUGGUCUGUUCCCAUGGCAUUUUCUUUCUAGACACAAUCAAGGCCUGAAAAGACGAUGAGAAUGCAGAUCUGGAAAUUCUGGCUGUAAAAUACCCCACAGAAAGGUGAACGAAGAAGGAACCACAAAUAAAGUCACCGCCACUGAGUGUUUACUGUGUGUUAUGGGUUGAACUGUGCCCACCCCCAAAAACCCAUGUGUUCCAGUCCUAACCCCCAGAGUGUGCCCUUAUUUGGAAAUAAGGUUGGUGCAGACACAAUUAGUUAAGCUGAGGUCAUAAGGAGCAGAGUGGGCCCCUUAUCCAAUACGACUGGUGUCCUCACGAAAAGGGAAAAUUUGAACACAGACACACUCAGGGAGAACACCGUGUGAAGAGUGGAGUCACGCUGCCCCAAACCAAGGACCUACCAGAAGCUCCGAGAGAGGCCUGGAACAGAUCCUUCUCUGGAGCUUUCAGAGGGAGCACAACCCUGACGACACCUGGAUCUUGGACUUCCGGCCUCCAGAACUGUGAGACAACAAAUUCCUGUUGUUUCAGCCUCUCAGUUCAUGGUCCUCUGUUACAGCAGCCCUGGCAAAUGCAUAUGAUAUGUAAUAGGUGCUAUGCUAACUGAUUUACAUCCACUGUCUCAUUUAACCCUCGGGACAACCCAUCAAUAGGUACCAUGGUCCGUUUUAUGGAAGAAUAAAUUAAACGAGAGGAAGGGUAAGUAACUUGUUCAAGGCUGAGCUGCUUCAAUCUAAAAGGACAGUGGUAUUCAAAGCCUCGGGCUCAGGGAAGCCCGCCCCACACCCAACCUACCCUAAUUGGGUAAAUCCCACGGCGUUCUUCACUCAGCCUUUCAAUCCUUGCUCAAAAUAGAUGUUGUCUCUUCAACAUCUGCUUGGCUUCUGGUUAAGAUGCUUGCAUGCCCUGUGUGGUGGUCAGAUUGGUGCACUCACCUGUUCUAAGUCCAUAUACAUGGAAAGACCUAGUGAGUUGUGAUGUUUAUGUCACACGUGGCACCUAAAUGCCUACCCCCUCAUUUACCAACAAAUGGGAGCCAACUCUCCUGGCUUCAUGCCAUCUCACUGUGCAACGUCCAAUAUACACACACACAUACACACACACACACCCCAGCCAUCAUAGUACAGACUGUUCAUGUGAUUUAUGUUUGUUUAAUUUGUAUUUUUGUCCAUGGUUUGUCACCCAGUUGUGUGCAGAUUCCUUACCUCAGCCUUCUUCUAUCUAGCCCCAGAAGAUGUGUUCCAUUUUCAAAGUCGUGGGAGCCAAGUAAAACCUCCUUCGUUGUCAUGGGCUAAUGGGCUAUAGAGCAGCUGCAGACCUGAUCCUGAGACACCGUGUCAGGGCUGAG
Molecule: long non-coding RNA, 1670 nt
Organism: Equus caballus (horse)
Lineage: Eukaryota; Metazoa; Chordata; Mammalia; Perissodactyla; Equidae
Source: Ensembl